This 330-nucleotide unclassified non-coding RNA is filed under the name uncultured Ophiocordyceps. RNAcentral describes it as "sequence contains ITS1". The stretch from base 1 to 105 matches the Rfam family "5.8S ribosomal RNA", at positions 50 to 154 of the family's 154-position model. Lineage: Eukaryota; Fungi; Ascomycota; Sordariomycetes; Hypocreales; Ophiocordycipitaceae. The record is from RNAcentral.
GAAAUGCGAUAAGUAAUGUGAAUUGCAGAAUUCAGUGAAUCAUCGAAUCUUUGAACGCACAUUGCGCCCGCCAGCACUCUGGCGGGCAUGCCUGUCCGAGCGUCAUUUCGACCCUCGAGGCCCCCCAGGGGGCCCCGGUGUUGGGGGUUCACGGCCCUGCGCCGCCCCCGAAAUGCAGUGGCGACCCAGCCGCGACGUCCCCUGCGCAGUAGCUCCACGAGAAACCUCGCACCGGGACGGCGGACGCGGUCACGCCCCCCCAGGCGGUUCGCCGCCGACCACAGCUCACGAGUUGACCUCGGAUCAGGUAGGGAUACCCGCUGAACUUAA